CACGUGCUUCAACUUCCUCUUGCCUAAAAUGCAAACGGUGAUAACCGUACCCCCAACAAUAAGGGUGGUUGUGAAUAUCAAACAAGUUAAUACAAGCCCCAGAGUUCAAGGUGACAGACCUGCAGUCUUCCCUGCUAAAGUCCUUGAAAAUGACAAAGGAAAAGGACUGUAGCUUCUUGUCACUCAAAGCAUGAUCCAGAUCCCACAGCACGGACGUCACCUUUGAACUUGGUAGAAAUGCAGAAGCUCAGACUCCUGUCCAGACGUAUGACUCAGAACCUGCAUUUUUAACUAGAUCCCAGGCCCAGUGGAAGUACGAAGGGACACGAAGGGGCACAUUCUUCUCUCCCGCCCCCGCCAUUCCCCAGUCCUCAUUCCAGCCAGCAGGACACGUGACAAGGCUCUGUGCAGGCUUCUUGGCCAUGGUUUCUGUUUCUCUUUGUCACAGUUGCCUGAACCCUUGUGGAAGUUAAUGCUGCAUCCCACGAUGAGAAAAUUGAGGCAUAGAGACGUUCAACAAUCUUCCCAAGGUCACACAGUCCGUAAGAGGAGCCGGCAUUUGAACCCAGACAAUCGAAAUCCAGAGUUCAAGCUCAUAACCAUUACACUCUUCUUAUAAAUAUGGAAAGCCAAAAAAAAAGUUUCAGAAAAAUUAUGUUUUAAAUUUUUAUUUAUUAUUUUUUAUUGAGGCGUAUCAGAAAAAUUAUUUAAAACAUUUCUAUGCAUGAAGGUCUUCAAAGUUAUUCCCGCCUGAAGUAAUCCUUUAACAUCUGGACAAAUAUCCAAGAGACAGUUGAACAUCCCAGAGGUGCUCAGUAGUUCUUUGGGCCAGGCAAUUUUUUUAGUGCAGGCUCACAGGGAGAGAAG
Molecule: long non-coding RNA, 867 nt
Filed under: Equus caballus (horse)
Lineage: Eukaryota; Metazoa; Chordata; Mammalia; Perissodactyla; Equidae
Description: lncRNA (ENSECAG00000032668.2)
Source: RNAcentral